Molecule: ribosomal RNA, 290 nt
Filed under: Chloropicon mariensis
Lineage: Eukaryota; Viridiplantae; Chlorophyta; Chloropicophyceae; Chloropicales; Chloropicaceae
Description: partial Bacterial large subunit ribosomal RNA
Rfam family: Bacterial large subunit ribosomal RNA
Source: RNAcentral
AAGAGUGCGUAACAGCUCACUGGUCGAGCGACCGGGCAUCGAUAAUACGCGGGCAUCAAAUCUAGUACCGAAGCAAUGGAUUCAUCGUAUGAUGAGUGGUAGGGGAGCAUUCUCCUUGCGGUGAAGCCGUGUCGUCAGGCAUGGUGGAGCGUGGAGAAAAGCACAUGUAGGCAUGAGUAACGAUAAAAUGGGUGCGAAACCCAUUCGCCGAUAGACUAAGGUUUCCAGCUCAACGCUAAUCGGAGCUGGGUUAGUCGGGACCUAAGGGGCAGCCGAAAGGUGAACUCGAU